UUAAUAUUACCUCCAUCCCAAAUUAGUUGUCAUAGAUUUGUCUAGAUACGGAUGUAAGUAACACUAAAUUGUGUUUAAAUACAUCCUUAUCUAGAUAAAUAUAAACAACUAAUUCGGGACGAAGGGAGUAUAUG
Non-coding RNA from Triticum aestivum (bread wheat), 134 nucleotides. The record is from Rfam. Lineage: Eukaryota; Viridiplantae; Streptophyta; Magnoliopsida; Poales; Poaceae.